Molecule: long non-coding RNA, 152 nt
Filed under: Anolis carolinensis (green anole)
Lineage: Eukaryota; Metazoa; Chordata; Lepidosauria; Squamata; Anolidae
Description: lncRNA (ENSACAG00000039338.1)
Source: RNAcentral
UAAAAGAGGCUUGAAUUUGGUGCCAUACAAAGUGAAAACCAAUAAUUUUGGAAGUAAUAGUUUCACAUAAAAGACAGAACAGCGAAAAAGAGAAAUCAUGACAGGACUGUAAGAAAAAACAUUUGAGAGAGAAUUUGGAGCAAAUAUUGCAG